CAAGAACGGGAACUCGCGGCUCUGCACCGGAAAGUGCGGGACGAAGCCCGGGAGGCCGAGAGGUGUAUGGAGCAAGUGAGGACGCGGAGCAGGGACUUUAGGUACGGAUUACUCUGUAAUAAAAAAAACGGAAACCCCUUGGGAGGCGACCACGAACCUGCUACUCGGCUCGUCCAAAGGGCCGGACCCGGUGAUGGAAUCCUGGGCGGUUCAGCGAAGUCUGCAGGAAUGACAGCGUCUACUAAACGGAACAUAAUCCAGAAGAAGGCCUCUGGAGAUGGAGAGUCAACGGAAA
Spea bombifrons (plains spadefoot toad) is the source of this 295-nucleotide long non-coding RNA. RefSeq lists it as uncharacterized. The transcript is spliced from 3 exons. NCBI's taxonomy places the organism in Eukaryota, Metazoa, Chordata, Amphibia, Anura, Pelobatidae. The record is from RefSeq and is a predicted model, not a curated record.